GGCAUGGUGGUGAAGUGGUUAACACCGUGGUUUGCAAAACCUCUAUGCGCAGGUUCGAAUCCUGUCCAUGCCUCCA
Molecule: transfer RNA, 76 nt
Filed under: Minisyncoccota bacterium
Lineage: Bacteria; Bacillati; Minisyncoccota
Description: tRNA-Cys
Rfam family: tRNA
About the family: Transfer RNA (tRNA) molecules are approximately 80 nucleotides in length. Their secondary structure includes four short double-helical elements and three loops (D, anti-codon, and T loops).
Source: RNAcentral